CGCCACGCCAUCAAUGCACCUUGGGGCUUUUUGUGACAGCUAUCAUCCUAAAUGAAAAAAAAAAACUUCGAGACUUCUGUUUUCCCUUCCCUUGGAUUUUCUGAUUUGGCCUUUUGUUUCUUUCACAUGGGCUUCUAUGCUCACUACGUUUUUUAUAAUACUUUCUUGAGCUUUUAUGUGUGUGAUUAUUUUCAGGUCCAAAUAUUUGUCUGAUUUUGCAGAAAGUAGAAGCUCCAUUUAGAUUUCAUUGUCGUCGUUGUCCACGUGAAGCCGCCUCCAAUGAAGAUCCUGAAACCUCUUGGUUUCCAUUAAUUUGGUUCUUCAAUCCGAACAUUAACAUGCUUCAUCCCACUUGCGCCACUACGCUGCAUUUAAUAAAAGCUCAGACUCUUGGUAUGUAACCGGCCAAACGUCUUCUAUAAAUUGGCAUCCUUGCAUCCUUGCAAACGAAUAGAGUCGCCGUAUCAUCCGCCUCCACUCGCCCAGAUCAAUUCACAGGAUUUGCGACGGUCUCCAUCUCCAACGCCGGCGAGAAGACCCUAAGACGACAUAAACCUAAAGCUUCACAACUACAACCUCAUAUCUCCACCCCAAUACGCCAAACCGAACGAGUCAAAGCUUCAAGUCACCAUAGAUUACGGCGACUGAUCUCGACUAGAGGAGUUACCAUCCUCUGCUGGCGCUCUCGUCACGAACCAAACCAAAGCGAUGCCAAAAGAGACGCCUAGGACUAAUCAUUGUUCCUCCUCACCGUACCUGAGUGAAGAUAACAACGGGGAGAGCUCCGACACCACAACUCAGACGAGAUCCAGAAAAAUAGUUUGUUUAGGAAAUCGAUUCUGCACAGCUGGAGGAAAAGAGGAGUUUGAUAGGGCGAGUCUUCUUAUUAUUUCCAGGUGGUGGGACAGAUCAGUCAGUGUCUUCAUCAAAGGUGAUUCACGCACUGAAAAUGGAACCCCUCAACGUUUCUGAUCUUAACCAAUUUAUUAUCACUGGUGCCCUCAGAUCACUGAGUUUCUCUUUAUGGUGAAGGAGCCAUGAGCACGGUUAACAGCAGCACAUGCAUGAGUGAGAGAUUCUAAUAUACAUAUAUGUUCUUGUCAACAUACUUCAGUUUCUGAAGUUAGCCAGCUUAGCAGAUUGCUCCGAAGGUUCUGGAGACGACUAUUGAUGAUGAUGAGCUGGAUGAUCUCAUAGAUCAGUUUGAUGUCAUUGACAUUGACAAGAAGGAUUUCAUUAGCCUUGUGGAGAUGAGGCAGGCUCUUGCGGAAGAUCCUUCUGGAAGCUCAAUGAUACAAGAUUAGCUGCGAUUCUUCAAGCAGUAAUCAACUGGAGGAGCAUGACUCUGACCAGUGGGAGCAGAGGUCAAGAGCAGCUUUCGAGAAUUUUUACAUGGCUAAAGAUGGGUUUAUAACACCUGAGGAACCAAAACUGAAUCACUUCUUGCAGAAGCUGACGUUGAUGAAGAUCGGAGAAUCAGCAUCCAUGAGUUUCGCAGACUCUUGAGAUCUGCAAUCGUCAAGUCAAAAACUAUCAAAAACCAUCCUGGUUACCAGCUUUCUUGAAAAAUGUAAAACACUUUCGCAAAUAGAUAUGAAGAUUAGAUUUUAUACUAUGAAGAUUAGAUUUUAUACUCAAACAAAAAAAAACAUUUUUUACAAUCGCCAUAUGAUUCAAGAAUAUCUUAUACAGGCUACAUGUGAUUUUUGUAUUUGAUACCAGAGAACACGCAUAUGGUCGGAAGGUUUGGGAUUGUUUUCCCGACUUGAGCAGAUAAUUUUGUAUUUUUAUUUGCU
This is a long non-coding RNA of Raphanus sativus (radish), 1796 nucleotides long. RefSeq lists it as uncharacterized. Lineage: Eukaryota; Viridiplantae; Streptophyta; Magnoliopsida; Brassicales; Brassicaceae. The transcript is spliced from 8 exons. The record is from RefSeq and is a predicted model, not a curated record.